CUGCAAUGUGUAGAUUUCAU
This 20-nucleotide small nuclear RNA is filed under the name Arabidopsis thaliana (thale cress). Its description in RNAcentral is "snRNA_14570". Lineage: Eukaryota; Viridiplantae; Streptophyta; Magnoliopsida; Brassicales; Brassicaceae. The record is from RNAcentral.